RNAcentral lists this transfer RNA (91 nucleotides) under Acinetobacter baumannii. Its description in RNAcentral is "tRNA-Ser". It matches the Rfam family "tRNA". From Rfam's summary of the family: Transfer RNA (tRNA) molecules are approximately 80 nucleotides in length. Their secondary structure includes four short double-helical elements and three loops (D, anti-codon, and T loops). The record is from RNAcentral. Lineage: Bacteria; Pseudomonadati; Pseudomonadota; Gammaproteobacteria; Moraxellales; Moraxellaceae. RNAcentral also lists the same sequence under 17 other names.
GGUGAAGUGUCCGAGUGGCUGAAGGAGCACGCCUGGAAAGUGUGUAUACGUUUAUAGCGUAUCGAGGGUUCGAAUCCCUCUUUCACCGCCA